Molecule: ribosomal RNA, 322 nt
Filed under: uncultured eukaryote
Lineage: Eukaryota
Description: partial 18S ribosomal RNA
Rfam family: Eukaryotic small subunit ribosomal RNA
Source: RNAcentral
CCCUUAGAUGUUCUGGGCCGCACGCGUGCUACACUGAGUGGAUCAGCGGGUCAGGUUGCGCGAAAGUGUUUCCUAAUCUUUAAAUCCGCUCGUGAUGGGGAUUGACGGUUGCAAUUUUCCGUCAUGAACGAGGAAUACCUUGUAAGCGCGGGUCAUCAUCCCGCGCUGAAUACGUCCCUGCCCUUUGUACGCACCGCCCGUCGCUCCUACCGAUUGAGUGGUCCGGUGAGGCUUUGGGAUCUGGGCGGAAAGAGCGUUUCGCUGUUUCUGCCCGGAAAACUCAGUCGAACCUUAUCAUUUAGAGGAAGGAGAAGUCGUAACA